RNAcentral lists this microRNA precursor (186 nucleotides) under Oryza brachyantha (malo sina). Its description in RNAcentral is "MIR812 microRNA precursor family". The stretch from base 20 to 186 matches the Rfam family "MIR812 microRNA precursor family", at positions 19 to 189 of the family's 205-position model. The record is from Rfam by way of RNAcentral. Lineage: Eukaryota; Viridiplantae; Streptophyta; Magnoliopsida; Poales; Poaceae.
AGUAACCUUAUUUUUCAUUUUUCCGUACCCAACGUUUGACCAUUCAUCUUAUUUAAAAAAUUUAUACAAUUAAAAAAUUAGUCAAGUAUAAAGUACUAUUCAUAUUUUAUCAUCUAGUAACAAUAACAAUAUUAAUCAUAAAAAAUUUUAAAUAAGAUAAAUGGUCAAACGUUAGAUAGAAAAAAC